RNAcentral lists this transfer RNA (75 nucleotides) under Escherichia phage vB_EcoM_ESCO9. Its description in RNAcentral is "tRNA-Lys". It matches the Rfam family "tRNA". Rfam says of the family: Transfer RNA (tRNA) molecules are approximately 80 nucleotides in length. Their secondary structure includes four short double-helical elements and three loops (D, anti-codon, and T loops). Lineage: Duplodnaviria; Heunggongvirae; Uroviricota; Caudoviricetes. The record is from RNAcentral.
ACAUCGUUAGCUUAGUUGGUAGAGCAAGGGCUUUUAACUCCAAGGUCGAAGGUUCGAAUCCUUCACGAUGUACCA